AAACUCAAAUGAAUUGACGGGGACCCGCACAAGCGGAGGAGCGCGUGGUUUUAAUUCGAUGGCAAUCGAAGAACCUUUACCAGGGUUUGACAUGUAUCUGCAUAUCUUUGGAAACAUAGAUAGCCUUCGAGGGUGAUACACAGGUACUGCAUGGCCGUCGUCAGCUCGUGUCGUGAGAUGUAGGGUUAAGUCCCGAAACGAGCGCAACCCCUAUCCCAUGUUACAAGUGUCUUGGGAAACUGCCUCGGUAAAACGAGGAGGAAGGUGGGGAUGACGUCUGGUCCGCAUAGUCCUUAUGUCCUGGGCUACACACGCGCUACAAUGGUCGGUACAAUGGGCAGCCAAGCCGUAAGGCGGAGCUAAUCCUGUAAAACCGAUCUCAGUUCGGAUUGUGGGCUGAAACUCGCCCACAUGAAGUUGGAUUCGCUAGUAAUCGUGGAUCAGCCAUGCCACGGUGAAUACGUUCUCGGGUCUU
Molecule: ribosomal RNA, 475 nt
Filed under: uncultured candidate division WS6 bacterium
Lineage: Bacteria
Description: bacterial SSU rRNA
Rfam family: Bacterial small subunit ribosomal RNA
Source: RNAcentral